GGUUAAGCGACUAAGCGUACACGGUGGAUGCCCUGGCAGUCAGAGGCGAUGAAGGACGUGCUAAUCUGCGAAAAGCGUCGGUAAGGUGAUAUGAACCGUUAUAACCGGCGAUGUCCGAAUGGGGAAACCCAGUGCAAUUCGUUGCACUAUCGUUAACUGAAUACAUAGGUUAACGAGGCGAACCGGGGGAACUGAAACAUCUAAGUACCCCGAGGAAAAGAAAUCAACCGAGAUUCCCCCAGUAGCGGCGAGCGAACGGGGAGCAGCCCAGAGUCUGAAUCAGCUUGUGUGUUAGUGGAACGGUCUGGAAAGUCCGACGGUACAGGGUGAUAGUCCCGUACACCAAAAUGCACAGGUUGUGAACUCGAAGAGUAGGGCGGGACACGUGGUAUCCUGUCUGAAUAUGGGGGACCAUCCUCCAAGGCUAAAUACUCCUGACUGACCGAUAGUGAACCAGUACCGUGAGGGAAAGGCGAAAAGAACCCCGGCGAGGGGAGUGAAAAAGAACCUGAAACCGUGUACGUACAAGCAGUGGGAGCACCUUCGGGUGUGACUGCGUACCUUUUGUAUAAUGGGUCAGCGACUUAUAUUCUGUAGCAAGGUUAACCGUAUAGGGGAGCCGCAGGGAAACCGAGUCUUAACUGGGCGUUAAGUUGCAGGGUAUAGACCCGAAACCCGGUGAUCUAGCCAUGGGCAGGUUGAAGGUUGGGUAACACUAACUGGAGGACCGAACCGACUAAUGUUGAAAAAUUAGCGGAUGACUUGUGGCUGGGGGUGAAAGGCCAAUCAAACCGGGAGAUAGCUGGUUCUCCCCGAAAGCUAUUUAGGUAGCGCCUCGUGAACUCAUCUUCGGGGGUAGAGCACUGUUUCGGCUAGGGGGUCAUCCCGACUUACCAACCCGAUGCAAACUACGAAUACCGAAGAAUGUUAUCACGGGAGACACACGGCGGGUGCUAACGUCCGUCGUGAAGAGGGAAACAACCCAGACCGCCAGCUAAGGUCCCAAAGUCAUGGUUAAGUGGGAAACGAUGUGGGAAGGCACAGACAGCCAGGAUGUUGGCUUAGAAGCAGCCAUCAUUUAAAGAAAGCGUAAUAGCUCACUGGUCGAGUCGGCCUGCGCGGAAGAUGUAACGGGGCUAAACCAUGCACCGAAGCUGCGGCAGCGACACUAUGUGUUGUUGGGUAGGGGAGCGUUCUGUAAGCCUGCGAAGGUGUGCUGUGAGGCAUGCUGGAGGUAUCAGAAGUGCGAAUGCUGACAUAAGUAACGAUAAAGCGGGUGAAAAGCCCGCUCGCCGGAAGACCAAGGGUUCCUGUCCAACGUUAAUCGGGGCAGGGUGAGUCGACCCCUAAGGCGAGGCCGAAAGGCGUAGUCGAUGGGAAACAGGUUAAUAUUCCUGUACUUGGUGUUACUGCGAAGGGGGGACGGAGAAGGCUAUGUUAGCCGGGCGACGGUUGUCCCGGUUUAAGCAUGUAGGCUGGUUGUCCAGGCAAAUCCGGAUAAUCAAGGCUGAGGUGUGAUGACGAGGCACUACGGUGCUGAAGUAACAAAUGCCCUGCUUCCAGGAAAAGCCUCUAAGCAUCAGGUAACAUUAAAUCGUACCCCAAACCGACACAGGUGGUCAGGUAGAGAAUACCAAGGCGCUUGAGAGAACUCGGGUGAAGGAACUAGGCAAAAUGGUGCCGUAACUUCGGGAGAAGGCACGCUGGUGUGUAGGUGAAGUCCCUGCGGAUGGAGCUGAGACCAGUCGAAGAUACCAGCUGGCUGCAACUGUUUAUUAAAAACACAGCACUGUGCAAACACGAAAGUGGACGUAUACGGUGUGACGCCUGCCCGGUGCCGGAAGGUUAAUUGAUGGGGUUAUCCGUAAGGAGAAGCUCUUGAUCGAAGCCCCGGUAAACGGCGGCCGUAACUAUAACGGUCCUAAGGUAGCGAAAUUCCUUGUCGGGUAAGUUCCGACCUGCACGAAUGGCGUAAUGAUGGCCAGGCUGUCUCCACCCGAGACUCAGUGAAAUUGAACUCGCUGUGAAGAUGCAGUGUACCCGCGGCAAGACGGAAAGACCCCGUGAACCUUUACUAUAGCUUGACACUGAACAUUGAGCCUUGAUGUGUAGGAUAGGUGGGAGGCUUUGAAGCGUGGACGCCAGUCUGCGUGGAGCCAACCUUGAAAUACCACCCUUUAAUGUUUGAUGUUCUAACGUUGGCCCCUGACCGGGGUUGCGGACAGUGUCUGGUGGGUAGUUUGACUGGGGCGGUCUCCUCCCAAAGCGUAACGGAGGAGCACGAAGGUUAGCUAAUCCUGGUCGGACAUCAGGAGGUUAGUGCAAUGGCAUAAGCUAGCUUGACUGCGAGCGUGACGGCGCGAGCAGGUGCGAAAGCAGGUCAUAGUGAUCCGGUGGUUCUGAAUGGAAGGGCCAUCGCUCAACGGAUAAAAGGUACUCCGGGGAUAACAGGCUGAUACCGCCCAAGAGUUCAUAUCGACGGCGGUGUUUGGCACCUCGAUGUCGGCUCAUCACAUCCUGGGGCUGAAGUAGGUCCCAAGGGUAUGGCUGUUCGCCAUUUAAAGUGGUACGCGAGCUGGGUUUAGAACGUCGUGAGACAGUUCGGUCCCUAUCUGCCGUGGGCGCUGGAGAAUUGAGGGGGGCUGCUCCUAGUACGAGAGGACCGGAGUGGACGCAUCACUGGUGUUCGGGUUGUCAUGCCAAUGGCACUGCCCGGUAGCUAAAUGCGGAAGAGAUAAGUGCUGAAAGCAUCUAAGCACGAAACUUGCCCCGAGAUGAGUUCUCCCUGAGACUUUAAGUCUCCUGAAGGAACGUUGAAGACGAUGACGUUGAUAGGCCGGGUGUGUAAGCGCAGCGAUGCGUUGAGCUAACCGGUACUAAUGAACCGUGAGGCUUAACCUU
This 2901-nucleotide ribosomal RNA is filed under the name Klebsiella pneumoniae. RNAcentral's name for it is "23S ribosomal RNA". It matches the Rfam family "Bacterial large subunit ribosomal RNA". The record is from RNAcentral. Lineage: Bacteria; Pseudomonadati; Pseudomonadota; Gammaproteobacteria; Enterobacterales; Enterobacteriaceae.